Pseudopipra pipra is the source of this 1618-nucleotide long non-coding RNA. RefSeq lists it as uncharacterized. Lineage: Eukaryota; Metazoa; Chordata; Aves; Passeriformes; Pipridae. The transcript has 3 exons. The record is from RefSeq and is a predicted model, not a curated record.
ACGCCCAUAUUUGCUGCCAGCCUGCAGACAGCAGCUGCUGCCGGCAGCGACUCACUCUACAGUGAUGGCGGCUGCGCUGACGUUCCAGAUUAGAGAGUCAUAUCUCUUUGUUCCCCCAGGGGAGCCUCUCUGUUUAAGGGGAUACUAUUAAGGAUGAUGUCACCCAAUAAUCACUGGAUCAGACUGGUCUCCCCAUAGCCACACUGUCACCAGCAGCAUUAUUUAUACAUAAACCCCCAGCCUUCCUCCAUGGACAGAUUUGCCAGCUCACAUCAAACAUCACUGGAAACUGCACUGGAUGAAUGUGGUCCAGUAUGGCACCUUCUCCAACUCUGACCUUCGCAUCUCUUCAUAGAAAACUGGUACAGAAUUACAGGCUUCAUUACUUUUGUUGCUGUGUGUUUGACUGAAAUUGGUACAACACAUUACAGGUAGGGAAAAGCAACGGGUUACGUACUUGAAUAAGAAAAGGGCGUGUAUUAACAAGUGUCCAACUAUGAACAUACAGUCUCCCCUGGCAUGCAGUCUCAGGUCCUAGAGAAAAGACCUUAGUGGAAAGUCCUACUAUGUCUUGAGCAUGUGCUCAAUAUGCUCCUUAUUGCAGCUAUAUUUCUUGUGUCUGUGCAGAGAGAAUUAAGGCUCUUCUGGGACAUUGCUUUUGUUGUAUGAAUACCAGAGCAAUUAUUUUUACAGAGUAUAUUCUAUGAAAAAAAUAGUUCACUCAGGUCUACUUUAGCCCUGCAUUACAGAUGCAAAUGAAAGCAACACAUAAUGUGAAUUUGUAUUUCACCAGUAAACUAACCCAUCACUGACUUUUCAUUGUCCUUUACUAGUUUGAAUUAACAUCCAUUUAAAUGUUACAUUUAACCUAAUGUACUUAACUUACAUUUCACUUAAAGAAAUGCCAAUCUUACAGUUUUAGUUAAAUGGGGAAGAUUUUCCAUUGAAUUUUUCAUAUCAUCACAUAGUUCAAAAGCACAGGGGACUACAACAACUCGGGGGAUUAAGUCUCCAGCACUUCCUAAAACUUUUCUCCUUGUUCCAGGGCGGGGUGCUGAGUGCUUCCCGGAGCAGUUCCCCGUUGCCAGCAGUGUCUGCCUGUGCCAGUCAUCUCCUGGAGCAGUUCCCUACUGCCAGCCAUGCUGAAAAGACAGGGAAUUUCCCUUUGGGGAGCUGCCGGGGCACUUGCUGCCACGUGGCUCACAAUCACCCAGUCCUGGUGCCGCUCCAGUUCAUCAUUGUCAAGUGGUUUUGCUCCAUUGGGAUCCGUGCUGCUGUCUCGGUGGCACAGGACUUUUUUCUUCUAAUGACAUACUCUUACAGGUGUUUCUCAUUUUAACCAAGGGGGAGGGGGAUGGCUAGGUGACAUUUUUUCUGCUAUUUAUUAUUUUUGUUUUGUUCUCCAUUUUUUUUAGUAAAAUUGUUAUCUUUUUUUCCUCCUUCAUUUAGAUUCCUCUUAACUACAAAAUUUGUCAAUAUUUGGGGAAGGGAAAUAAACAGAAGAGAAAUGGAGUUUUACCUCAUUAGAGGUCCCACCUCCUGAACAUACUGUCAUUAAAUCAAGACAAGCAAAAGCUUUUAUUUUGCUCUGACAUAACAUUAAAGAUUUUAAAAACUU